UCUCUGCUCUCAUUGCCGUAAAACAUGGCAACUACAGUUCACUUACACCGCCUCUCAGCCCGGUACGCACCAGAAAAUCAUUGAUAUGGCUAUGAAUGGCGUCGGAUGUCGCGCCAGUGCACGCAUUAUGGGCGUUGGCCUCAACACGGUU
Molecule: ribosomal RNA, 151 nt
Filed under: Escherichia coli 2-005-03_S1_C3
Lineage: Bacteria; Pseudomonadati; Pseudomonadota; Gammaproteobacteria; Enterobacterales; Enterobacteriaceae
Description: partial 16S ribosomal RNA
Source: RNAcentral